GGUUGUGGCUCAGUGGUAGAGUGCUUGCCUAGCAUGUGUCAAGCACUGGGUUUGAUUCUCAGCACCA
This 67-nucleotide transfer RNA is filed under the name Marmota monax (woodchuck). RNAcentral's name for it is "tRNA.Undet". Lineage: Eukaryota; Metazoa; Chordata; Mammalia; Rodentia; Sciuridae. The record is from RNAcentral.